Molecule: long non-coding RNA, 582 nt
Filed under: Marmota monax (woodchuck)
Lineage: Eukaryota; Metazoa; Chordata; Mammalia; Rodentia; Sciuridae
Source: RNAcentral
CUUUAAAAACCUUGAAAAUUCCCCAAUAGACUACGAACAUUUCUGGUUAGUUUAGAUGGGAUAUCUGAAAUACCAUUUUAAAUGGAAGCCACUGAAGCAGUGAUCUUGGCUUACACUCUAAGCGUUCAAAGCGGCUUCAUUCUUUGGCGUAGGAAAGAGAACACAGGCUUUGGGAUAGCUCAGGGAUUUGUCAAGUUAGUGAAGCUGGAACUUUCCUCUCUGUUAACUGAAAUGAAAAGACCUGAAUGAUUUCUGGAUGCCUCCCAGGGGUCUGGACUUCAUGUUGGCGGCACUUCUGAGUUUGUAGGACUUUGUGGGCAUGUGAUUUAGUGAUUAGCAAUGACAGUGCCUUUCCAUACUGCCAUUUCCAGGGCUGGCCCUGGAAAUAAACAGCACCACUCAACUAAUAGCUAUAAAUGAAUCCCAGCCAUUUGGGAGGCUGAGGCAGGAGGAUUGCAAGUUUGAGGCCAGUCUGGGAGAUACUGUCUCAGAAUCGAAAUAAAAUAAAGAUGGUUAGGGAUGUAGCUCAGUGUUAGAGUGCUUGCCUAGCAUGCACAAAGCCCUGAGUUUGAUCCCCUGCAU